RNAcentral lists this ribosomal RNA (405 nucleotides) under uncultured bacterium. RNAcentral describes it as "bacterial SSU rRNA". It matches the Rfam family "Bacterial small subunit ribosomal RNA", at positions 509 to 916 of the family's 1533-position model. The record is from RNAcentral.
CAGCCGCCGCGGUAAUACGUAGGUGGCAAGCGUUGUCCGGAUUUAUUGGGUUUAAAGGGUGCGUAGGCGGUUUUGUAAGUCAGUGGUGAAAUAUAGCAGCUUAACUGUUAGGGUGCCAUUGAUACUGCAGAACUUGAGUACAGAUGAGGUAGGCGGAAUUGACGGUGUAGCGGUGAAAUGCUUAGAUAUCGUCAAGAACACCUAUAGCGAAGGCAGCUUACUAGGCUGUAACUGACGCUGAGGCACGAAAGUGUGGGGAUCAAACAGGAUUAGAUACCCUGGUAGUCCACACUGUAAACGUUGAUUACUCGCUGUGUGCGAUAUACAGUACGCGGCCAAGCGAAAGCGAUAAGUAAUCCACCUGGGGAGUACGCCGGCAACGGUGAAACUCAAAGGAAUUGACGG